This 415-nucleotide ribosomal RNA is filed under the name uncultured bacterium. RNAcentral's name for it is "bacterial SSU rRNA". It matches the Rfam family "Bacterial small subunit ribosomal RNA", at positions 355 to 786 of the family's 1533-position model. The record is from RNAcentral.
UCGGGAAUAUUGCGCAAUGGAGGAAACUCUGACGCAGUGACGCCGCGUGCAGGAAGAAGGUUUUCGGAUUGUAAACUGCUUUAGACAGGGAAGAAACAAGACAGUACCUGUAGAAUAAGCUCCGGCUAACUACGUGCCAGCAGCCGCGGUAAUACGUAGGGAGCAAGCGUUAUCCGGAUUUAUUGGGUGUAAAGGGUGCGUAGACGGGAAUGCAAGUUGGUUGUGAAAUCCCUCGGCUCAACCGAGGAAUUGCAACCAAAACUAUAUUCUUGAGUGCUGGAGAGGAAAGUGGAAUUCCUAGUGUAGCGGUGAAAUGCGUAGAUAUUAGGAGGAACACCAGUGGCGAAGGCGACUUUCUGGACAGUAACUGACGUUGAAGCACGAAAGUGUGGGGAGCAAAACAGGAUUAGAUACC